Molecule: ribosomal RNA, 433 nt
Filed under: uncultured bacterium
Lineage: Bacteria
Description: partial 16S ribosomal RNA
Rfam family: Bacterial small subunit ribosomal RNA
Source: RNAcentral
AACGAACGCUGGCGGCAUGCCUAACACAUGCAAGUCGAACGAGACCUUCGGGUCUAGUGGCGCACGGGUGCGUAACGCGUGGGAACCUGCCCUUAGGUUCGGAAUAACUCCCCGAAAGGGGUGCUAAUACCGGAUAAUGUCUUCGGACCAAAGAUUUACCGCCUUUGGAUGGGCCCGCGUUGGAUUAGCUAGUUGGUAGGGUAAAAGCCUACCAAGGCGACGAUCCAUAGCUGGUCUGAGAGGAUGAUCAGCCACACUGGGACUGAGACACGGCCCAGACUCCUACGGGAGGCAGCAGUGGGGAAUAUUGGACAAUGGGCGAAAGCCUGAUCCAGCAAUGCCGCGUGAGUGAUGAAGGCCUUAGGGUUGUAAAGCUCUUUUACCCGGGAUGCUAAUGACAGUACCGGGAGAAUAAGCUCCGGCUAACUCCGUG